This is a long non-coding RNA of Lontra canadensis (Northern American river otter), 239 nucleotides long. RefSeq lists it as uncharacterized. The record is from RefSeq and is a predicted model, not a curated record. Lineage: Eukaryota; Metazoa; Chordata; Mammalia; Carnivora; Mustelidae. The transcript is spliced from 3 exons.
GCCUUCCCAGCGCCCCCGGCGGUAGCAGAAGGAGCGUUGCGUUAGGCACCGUGGGCUUGCUGGGAGCCGUAGGGCAAGUGGCUGAAUUUUGGAAGGUGAGAAAUCACCCUCAUUAACCACCAGAAAAAAAAUUAAACCAAUGCUGUGGACUCCUUCAGUGAUUUUCUUCUGAGAGAAGCCUUCAAAUAUGAGCACAAGCAGUUAAAAUUAUGAACUGUCGGGGUGCCUGGGUGGCUCAG